This 97-nucleotide small nuclear RNA is filed under the name Marmota monax (woodchuck). RNAcentral describes it as "U2 spliceosomal RNA". It matches the Rfam family "U2 spliceosomal RNA". From Rfam's summary of the family: U2 is a small nuclear RNA (snRNA) component of the spliceosome (involved in pre-mRNA splicing). Complementary binding between U2 snRNA (in an area lying towards the 5' end but 3' to hairpin I) and the branchpoint sequence (BPS) of the intron results the bulging out of an unpaired adenosine, on the BPS, which initiates a nucleophilic attack at the intronic 5' splice site, thus starting the first of two transesterification reactions that mediate splicing. The record is from Rfam by way of RNAcentral. Lineage: Eukaryota; Metazoa; Chordata; Mammalia; Rodentia; Sciuridae.
AUCGCUUCUCGGCCUUUUGGCUAAGAUCAAGUGUAGUAUCUGUUCUUAUCAGUUUAAAAAGAUUGUGCAUUCAUUUUGUUUGUAUCUCCAAGCCUUC